RNAcentral lists this non-coding RNA (85 nucleotides) under unclassified sequences. RNAcentral describes it as "c-di-GMP sequence". It matches the Rfam family "c-di-GMP-II-GAG riboswitch aptamer". The record is from Rfam by way of RNAcentral.
CCGCGUGCGGGAGGUUGAGACGCGCGGUCCACACCCCGGCCGCCGGGACCGCGCCGAGCCACUGGCGAGACCGACCCGCGCGUGC